Molecule: long non-coding RNA, 691 nt
Organism: Lolium perenne
Lineage: Eukaryota; Viridiplantae; Streptophyta; Magnoliopsida; Poales; Poaceae
Source: RefSeq, a predicted model, not a curated record
AUUGAUUUGUCAGGUCGGUUUGGGUUUGAGAGGCGGUUAUACGGAAAUAAGCACACACCACACAGGCACGGCGGUAGCAGUCCAAUCCCUGAAUCCCACCGCUCAAUCUGAAUCCCCAUCCUCUGGACGCGCCGGAGCCUUGAGGAGCGGACGGUGCCGGAGCUACAGGAAGCCGCUGCGGCCCUCGCCGUGUAUCGCGCCGCCGGAUGAGGACGUGCUGCAGCGCGCGUCGCUGGAUGGGUCGUCCGCCGCUAUAGAGCUAGGUCUCCUACCUCGACCCUGCCAAGAUCGAGAAGAACCUGCCAAGAUUGAUAAGAGAAGAUGCAUGGCAUGGUUCUGUGUGACGUAGGAGUGGAUCAUCUAAGCUCCACCUCUUGAGUAUAUUGUGUAUUAUGGCCGAAUUAUGAUCUAUAUCAGGUGAGAAAAGCAGGUUCAGCGAUGUAGAUAAAUUCCAUCGGUGUAUUUCUAUGUUCUUGAAACAAAAAAACUUCUAAUUAGUAGUUUAGUUUACCUUACUUAUAAUGACACAAAAAUGCAGAAGACGAGAUGUGUAUAGGGAAGUUCAAAUUAUUAGCAUUCAAGAGCUCAUAGUGUUCAAUAUUGUUUGGUGCAUCUAUUGUAUAAACUGACGCAGAUAAGUUUGUAUGUAUGUUCAUCCAAUAAAAAAAUGAGAUUACUGAUGUUUUUUCGU